AUUGAACGCUGGCGGCAUGCCUUACACAUGCAAGUCGAACGGCAGCACGGGAGCAAUCCUGGUGGCGAGUGGCGAACGGGUGAGUAAUAUAUCGGAACGUGCCCAGUCGUGGGGGAUAACGUAGCGAAAGCUACGCUAAUACCGCAUACGAUCUAUGGAUGAAAGCGGGGGAUCGCAAGACCUCGCGCGAUUGGAGCGGCCGAUAUCAGAUUAGGUAGUUGGUGAGGUAAAGGCUCACCAAGCCGACGAUCUGUAGCUGGUCUGAGAGGACGACCAGCCACACUGGGACUGAGACACGGCCCAGAAUCCUACGGGAGGCAGCAGUGGGGAAUUUUGGACAAUGGGCGCAAGCCUGAUCCAGCAAUGCCGCGUGCAGGAUGAAGGCCUUCGGGUUGUAAACUGCUUUUGUACGGAGCGAAAAGGUCUCCUCUAAUACAGGGGGCUCAUGACGGUACCGUAAGAAUAAGCACCGGCUAACUACGUGCCAGCAGCCACCGCAG
This 500-nucleotide ribosomal RNA is filed under the name uncultured bacterium. Its description in RNAcentral is "partial 16S ribosomal RNA". It matches the Rfam family "Bacterial small subunit ribosomal RNA", at positions 30 to 523 of the family's 1533-position model. The record is from RNAcentral.